GCCACCUGUGACAUCACGGGGGAGGGGACAGGUGAGCUUUUGGGGGUCCCAGGUGGAUUUGGGGGGUCCCCAAUGGUUUUUAGGUCGGUCCAGGUGGUUUUUGGGCAGUUCCAGGUGGGUUUUGGGCAGUUCCAGGUGGGUUUUGGGCUGUUCCAGGAGUUUCUGGGGGGUUUCAGGUGCUUUUUGGGGGGAUCCAGGUGUCCUGGGAGGGAUCCAGGUGUGUCCGGGCAGGGUGCAGGUGCCCAGGUGUGCUGGGAACUGCUGAUCCAGGUGUGCAGGAACCCGAAUAUCUGGGCGGGCUGGGACUCAGGUGUGAGGGAUCCAGGUGUGAGGGAUCCAGGUGUGAGGGGGGAUCCAGGUGUGAGGGAUCCAGGUGUGAGGGACUCAGGUGUGAGGGGGGGAUCCAGGUGUGAGGGAUCCAGGUGUGGGGGAUCCAGGUGUGAGGGAUCCAGGUGUGUGAGGGAUCCAGGUGCCCAGGUGUGGGUGGGACUUGGUUAUCCAGGUGUGAUGUCACCUGGUUAUGACAUCACCCCCACCCAGGUGUGACGUCACCAGCUCACCUAGCCAUGACAUCACCUGCCCACACCCCCCUCCUGCCCAGGUGUGACAUCAUCCAGGUGUGACAUCAUCCAGGUGUGAUGGGAGUCACUCAGGUGUCCCAGGUGCCACUGCUCAGCUGUCCCCUGCCCCAUGUCCCUGUCCCCCCACAGGUGCCCCUGUGCCUCACAAAGCUGUCCCUGCACCUGCCCAAGUGUGGCAGGUGCCACUCAGGUGUCACUCAGGUGUGACAUUACCUGCCCAGGUGUCACUCAGGUGUCACAGGUGUCACUCAGGUGUGACAUUACCUGUCCAGGUGUCACAGGUGUCACUCAGGUGGGGCAUUACCUGCCCAGGUGUCACUCAGGUCUCACAGGUGUCACUCAGGUGUGACAUUAGCUGUCCAGGUGUCACUCAGGUGUCACAGGUGUGUCUCAGGUUGGGAUGGGCUGUGUAUUCUGUUUCUCUCUGCUGGGGCAGUUCUCUCCUGCUCAUCGCGCAGUUUUCUUUAUCCCUUCCACAGCCAAUCCUCCCUCCAGGAGAGAUCUGCUGUUAAUGAGCCAUUAAUUAUUAAUUAUCUCCUGCUCCUGGGCCAGUGAGUGUCACUGCAUGGCUGAUAAAAAUUUGGAACAGCAGAGAGUCUUUCCCACUGCAUUCCCAGAGCAGCAGCAGCUUUCUUCUUAUUUUGUUUUUUUGACUUUGUUUUUAUACUUUUUUAAUUUUUUUUUUUUUACUAUUUUUAUUCUUAUUUUUAUCUUAUUUAUAUUUUGGGUUUAUAUCAGUUUUAUUUAUAUACUUUUAAAUUUUUUUAUCUUAUUAAUAUUUUAUUUCUACCUUUAGAUUAUUUAUUUUUUUCAUUUAAAAUUUUAAAUUUUAUUUUAAUCUAAUUUUUAUUUUUAUUUCUGUCUUUUUAUUUCUUGAAUUUUUAUUCUUUAUUUUAUUUUUAUCUUAUUUUUAUUUUUAUCCUUUUAUUAUUUAUUACUUUGUUUUAUUUUUAUUUCAUUUUUAUUCUUAUUUCCAUAUUACAUUUUAUUUUAUUUUAUUUUAUUUUAUUUUAUUUUAUUUUAUUUUAUUUUAUUUUAUUUUAUUUUA
This is a long non-coding RNA of Passer domesticus (house sparrow), 1629 nucleotides long. RefSeq lists it as uncharacterized. The transcript has 3 exons. The record is from RefSeq and is a predicted model, not a curated record. NCBI's taxonomy places the organism in Eukaryota, Metazoa, Chordata, Aves, Passeriformes, Passeridae.